Non-coding RNA from Cajanus cajan (pigeon pea), 645 nucleotides. Lineage: Eukaryota; Viridiplantae; Streptophyta; Magnoliopsida; Fabales; Fabaceae. The record is from RefSeq and is a predicted model, not a curated record.
GGAACUUUCAUUUGAAAGGUAUAAUAUGGUAGUUGAGGACCAGAUGUGUACACAUAUACAAAGAAUUUGAGACCCCAAAUGUGAUUAUUGAGCAGCCUUUAUGCAGAGAUUCAAAUAGGUGAGGAUUUUUUAUAAAUAAUUUUUUGGGAAAAAUUUAGCAAAACACUUCUUUAUCUAUUUUUCUUGCUGAGGAUUUAGAAAGUAAGAAAAGAGAGGCUUAAUUAUGAACUUUGGUUUACAAUGCCAAUGUCGAGGCCAUUCUGCUGGUCCUGGGGGCGAUCGUAGACGAUUCUUUCCCCCUUGCACGGUGGAGGGUGAGUCAGCCUCGUUCGUUGAAGGUCCUGAUUUGUCAUUGUGUUAGGCAACCUCCUUCAAAGCAAAGGUCUAUAGUGAUGCCAUUUCGUCUGCUUCAGAGAGUUACCUGAAUUGGAUAUAAGAGCCUCUGAUAAGUGAUAAGCAAAUUUUGAUUAAUUCCCCUUAUAUGGAACCAACAACAACGUUUGGGUCUCUGCCCUUGUGUGUAUUUUUAAUCAAUUAUUGUCAUUGAUAGGAACUGUGAUACAUUUUUAAUAGAAGAAUUCAUGUCAAUGUUUUUUCAUGUAAACAAGUACCCAGUUUGUGUUUAAUGAAUUGGAUUAGUUUGCA